GCUUAACGCGAAGAACCUUACCUGGCCUUGACAUCCACGGAAGCCCUGAGAGAUCGGGGUGUGCCUUCGGGAACCGUGAGACAGGUGCUGCAUGGCUGUCGUCAGCUCGUGUCGUGAGAUGUUGGGUUAAGUCCCGCAACGAGCGCAACCCUUGUCCUUAGUUGCCAGCACCUCGGGUGGGAACCCUAAGGAGACUGCCGGUGACAAACCGGAGGAAGGUGGGAUGACGUCAAGUCAUCAUGGCCCUUACGGCCAGGGCUACACACGUACUACAAUGGUGGGAACAGAGGGUCGCGAGGCCGCGAGGCGGAGCCAAUCCCAGAAACCCCAUCCUAGUCCGGAUCGGAGUCUGCAACUCGACUCCGUGAAGUCGGAAUCGCUAGUAAUCGCAGAUCAGCAUUGCUGCGGUGAAUACGUUCCCGGGUCUUGUACACACCGGGUCUUGUACACACCGGG
Molecule: ribosomal RNA, 456 nt
Filed under: uncultured bacterium
Lineage: Bacteria
Description: bacterial SSU rRNA
Rfam family: Bacterial small subunit ribosomal RNA
Source: RNAcentral